Molecule: ribosomal RNA, 330 nt
Filed under: uncultured eukaryote
Lineage: Eukaryota
Description: partial 18S ribosomal RNA
Rfam family: Eukaryotic small subunit ribosomal RNA
Source: RNAcentral
CCCUUAGAUGUUCUGGGCCGCACGCGCGCUACACUGACGAAUGCAACGAGCUUAUAAUAACCUUGGCCGAAAGGUCUGGGUAAUCUCCAAAUUUCGUCGUGAUGGGGAUAGAUUAUUGCAAUUAUUAAUCUUCAACGAGGAAUGCCUAGUAAGCGCAAGUCAUCAGCUUGCGUUGAUUACGUCCCUGCCCUUUGUACACACCGCCCGUCGCUCCUACCGAUUGAAUGGUCCGGUGAAGCGUUCGGACCGUGGCCUUUGGACGGUUCGCCGUCUGUUGACUGCGGGAAGUUCGUUAAACCUUNUNAUUUAUNGGAAGGAGAANUCGUANCA